UCGGAAGGGGAUCGGGGAUGCGUUCCAUUAGGCAGCCGGCGGGUAACGGCCCACCGGGCCUUCGAUGGAUAGGGGUUCUGAGAGGAAGGCCCCCCACACUGGGACUGAGACACGGCCCAGACUCCUACGGGAGGCAGCAGUGAGGAAUAUUGGUCAAUGGCGGGAACGCUGAACCAGCCAAGUAGCGUGAGGGAUGACGGCCCUACGGGUCUUAAACCUCUUUUUGUUGGGGAGCAAAGUGGCCCACUUGUGGGUUAUUGCGAGUACCCUUCGAAUAAGCAUCGGCUAACUCCGUGCC
This 298-nucleotide ribosomal RNA is filed under the name uncultured bacterium. Its description in RNAcentral is "partial 16S ribosomal RNA". It matches the Rfam family "Bacterial small subunit ribosomal RNA", at positions 215 to 509 of the family's 1533-position model. The record is from RNAcentral.